UGGGGAAUAUUGCACAAUGGGCGCAAGCCUGAUGCAGCCAUGCCGCGUGUAUGAAGAAGGCCUUCGGGUUGUAAAGUACUUUCAGCGAGGAGGAAGGCGUUGUGGUUAAUAACCGCAGCGAUUGACGUUACUCGCAGAAGAAGCACCGGCUAACUCCGUGCCAGCAGCCGCGGUAAUACGGAGGGUGCAAGCGUUAAUCGGAAUUACUGGGUGUAAAGCGCACGCAGGCGGUUUGUCAAGUCGGAUGUGAAAUCCCCGGGCUCAACCUGGGAACUGCAUCCGAAACUGGCAGGCUAGAGUCUUGUAGAGGGGGGUAGAAUUCCAGGUGUAGCGGUGAAAUGCGUAGAGAUCUGGAGGAAUACCGGUGGCGAAGGCGGCCCCCUGGACAAAGACUGACGCUCAGGUGCGAAAGCGUGGGGAGCAAACA
This 427-nucleotide ribosomal RNA is filed under the name uncultured bacterium. Its description in RNAcentral is "partial 16S ribosomal RNA". It matches the Rfam family "Bacterial small subunit ribosomal RNA", at positions 355 to 774 of the family's 1533-position model. The record is from RNAcentral.